RNAcentral lists this ribosomal RNA (497 nucleotides) under uncultured bacterium. RNAcentral's name for it is "partial 16S ribosomal RNA". It matches the Rfam family "Bacterial small subunit ribosomal RNA", at positions 28 to 507 of the family's 1533-position model. The record is from RNAcentral.
GAUGAACGCUGGCGGCGUGCCUAAUACAUGCAAGUCGAGCGAACGGACGAGAAGCUUGCUUCUCUGAUGUUAGCGGCGGACGGGUGAGUAACACGUGGAUAACCUACCUAUAAGACUGGGAUAACUUCGGGAAACCGGAGCUAAUACCGGAUAAUAUUUUGAACCGCAUGGUUCAAAAGUGAAAGACGGUCUUGCUGUCACUUAUAGAUGGAUCCGCGCUGCAUUAGCUAGUUGGUAAGGUAACGGCUUACCAAGGCAACGAUGCAUAGCCGACCUGAGAGGGUGAUCGGCCACACUGGAACUGAGACACGGUCCAGACUCCUACGGGAGGCAGCAGUAGGGAAUCUUCCGCAGUGGGCGAAAGCCUGACGGAGCAACGCCGCGUGAGUGAUGAAGGUCUUCGGAUCGUAAAACUCUGUUAUUAGGGAAGAACAUAUGUGUAAGUAACUGUGCACAUCUUGACGGUACCUAAUCAGAAAGCCACGGCUAACUACGUG